RNAcentral lists this ribosomal RNA (301 nucleotides) under uncultured bacterium. RNAcentral describes it as "partial 16S ribosomal RNA". It matches the Rfam family "Bacterial small subunit ribosomal RNA", at positions 509 to 807 of the family's 1533-position model. The record is from RNAcentral.
CAGCCGCCGCGGGAAUACGUAGGUGGCAAGCGUUGUCUGGAAUUAUUGGGCGUAAAGGGCUCGCAGGCGGUUUCUUAAGUCUGAUGUGAAAGCCCCCGGCUCAACCGGGGAGGGUCAUUGGAAACUGGGAAACUUGAGUGCAGAAGAGGAGAGUGGAAUUCCACGUGUAGCGGUGAAAUGCGUAGAGAUGUGGAGGAACACCAGUGGCGAAGGCGACUCUCUGGUCUGUAACUGACGCUGAGGAGCGAAAGCGUGGGGAGCGAACAGGAUUAGAUACCCCUGUAGUCCCUGUCUCUUAUAC